UUGUAAAAUCGACUGUGGGUGCAGUGGAAUAAAUGAAACAAGACACAAAAUUUACGAGGUUCCUCUACAGUCAGUGUGACUGGAGUACGUCCUCGGGGCAGCAGUGGUGCUUUCAUUAUAAUUUGAAAUAAUAGGAGUACAAAGAUAACUCUCUCUAUUCUCUUCUCUCAUCUUCCUCUAUUCUCUCUCUUCCUCUUCCUUCUCUCUCUUCCUCUUCCUUCCUUCCUCUCUUUCUUUCCCGUGAACUCCCCUCACUUCAUUCCUCUUCUUCCUUUAUAUAAACAAAAGAAAGCACUAUUCACUUUACAAAUUUUCCACAAAUGAAUAGUGAAAAUACUGUGCAUAAAUAGUAACAAACUAUUCAUGUGGACCAUCCACACACUAUUUACAACACUCCCCCUUGGAUGGCCACAAGUCUUCGAUUGACUCGUUAAAACCUUGAUCUGUCUUGGAUGCUCCCCCUGAUGAGUAUCUCCCCCUGAUUUCAAAUCAUUUAGGUUGAUCUUUGAUCGUUCUGAUUUAGUCUCUUAGUAAGAAGAGUUGCUGAAAGAGUUGCUUUACUUGUUGUUAACUUUCCACAGGCUUUUUCUUGAACUGGGUUGUAGGACUUUCUGCUAGACUAGCAUCCAAAGGUCUGAAUUUACUCCUUUUAUCUGGAGCGGAAUUUGAUUCAAGAGUAGUGAACACUUGAUAUUGAAUCGGACUUGUGAUUUCUUCAAGGACCUUCGAGCCUUGAUCUUGAAUGAAAUUGGACCAUGAGGAGCUUCAUGUGGCAAGUGAUCUUCAGUUUUGUCAGGGAUGAAUCAGCACGCGUUUGUUGCGCUUGUCUCCACAUGCUUCAAUGUAUCAUUUUCACUUUCCUUACUUGCUCCCCUUGCUUAAGUAGUAUUUUCCCUGCUUUUCCCCCAUGCAUGUGUGGCAUCUUCUCCGGCAGUAUUUGCCCUCUGAUGCCGGAGUGGAGUGCAACCCUUGCAUUUGGAUGGUUCAUCACUUCUUGGUGACUGGAGACCCAGCUCCAACCGUUGAAGAUGACUACUCGAGAGCAACACUAGGUAAGUAAUCAGGAAAGGUUCCAGGCAGUCGGUUCCUUACGGGGAGUUUGAGUGGAGGUUCCGACAUAUUGCUUUCUUUAUCCUUGUUUUCGCAGGCAAGAACAAGGACAAAGGAAAAGACAGGGAGAUUGCAUGAUAUGAGAUAAUCUUGCUCUGGUCCCUGAAGAUAUGUGAUAAUCUUGCUCUGGUGUGACAUGUUUGAAGAGGUAUUCUCGGAGAGGAAGAAAACUGAGUAUUUCGAGAUGCUAUGUUGAAGAUGCAUUCUCGGAGAUGAGGAAGAGUUAGGUAUUCUUGCAGUGUUGCGGGUCUGCCUUGUUAUGGAGAACAGAGGUCGACAUAUAUAGAGAUUUCUCAAUAGCAAGUGGUGGUGCUGUGCUUUUACUCUUGUCAGCAACUGUGGUGUAAAUAGAACAGUAAGAUUUACGCGUUUUCAACUUUGUCAGAGAUCUUUGACAAAGUUGCACGCGAUAUCUGAAAAAGCUAGGAUUACGUCUGAAAAAUGCCAACAAACUUUAUUCAGGAAAAUCUGGCUUUUGAAAUUCGGAGAGCGGUGCCUCUUCGAUCUUUGAACGAGUGGCUCUGCUGCCUCUUCUUUUAUAGAGACAUCAAUUGUGUUCAAGAGUAUGCUCAGAAAGUUGCUGCCUGUAGAAAUUUCCUCUAUCUUGCACUUCUGAAAUUUUAUUUGACCUCUGUUUUUCCUUCACCAUUUCUGAAAAAUGACUUGCCCAUCUAACAUUUGCUUAGAUUUGAGUCUUAGGAGUGAUACAGACGAGCAGCGUCAUGAUAAUAUAUGGCGCCCUUCCUUCUUAUCUUCUAAUGGUCCUCUUACGGUUGGUGACUCUGUGAUGAAGAAUAACAUAACCGCUACUGUGGUAGCUAGGAAUCUUCUCACUCCAAGGGAUAACAAGAUCCUUUCAGAACGGUCUGAAGAGUCGGCCGUUCAAGACUCCUUGGCUCUCAGUGUUCAGUGUGCUGGCUCUGUGUCCAAUAUGGGCCAACGCCUACUUGCUCAAACUCGCCAAGUUGAAUCAUUAAUGGCGGAGGUGGCAAGUCUUAAACAAGAGAUCAGAGGGCUCAAGCACGAGAAUAGGGUGUUACACGUGCUUGCAAAUAAUUACUCUACGAGCAUGAAAAGAAAGCUCGUCCAACUGCAGGAAUCCGAAAGUCGGAUUCAAAGUGAUCACCAGAGGUUCGUUGCUAGAUUCCGAAAGCAACUGAUGCCUUCCCCUUCUGGUGUUUUGCUAAGUACUGGGGUGCCACAUGAUCAAUCUCCAGUGCCUCCCCCUUCUGGGGUACUUCCGAGUACUGAGGCUUCACAUGAGCAACCUUUGUGAAGGCUCCAUCCUGUUUUUGUUUGUUUUAACUCAUGUGUAUGUAUAUAUCUGUAAUUUCUUGGAGAUAUUAAUAAAUAAGCUUUAUUUCAUUCAAUGUAUUGUGCCAAAUACAAUAAAGCAUAUACUUCACUAAGAUGUGGUACUUCUGGACCAAGUAUUAAUUUAUCUUUACCCUCACGAAGAUAAAUGAUUAUUCUUAGUGUCUUCAUCAUAUGAGUAUUUAACUCAUAAUCUUCAAUCCAUAUGGUUCUUUUAAUAUCAUAAAUAUCAUGGAUAAGAUUCGUUGGUAGAUUGUUCAAUCUACAGCUCGAGACAAUAAUUCCUUCAACACUUUAUAAUUUUUCUAGACUCUUCAGGAGUCCCAAUUUAAUAUCAUCAACUCUUCAAGAGUUCUAAUUUAAUGUCAUUGACUCUUGCAAGAGAUUUUAGUAUGUUGCAACAAUAUCAUAAUGAUAGUACUCACUAAGGCAAUUUAUAUCAUCCAUUGGUAUUGAGUACAUAUUUUAUGUUUUACCCUUCAGAGGCUUACUUCAAGCAAUUUUGAAUCCUUCAAGGGUUUUCUACACUUCAUGACACAUUUUCCUUUGGAAUUUAUACAGAGCAAUUUGCUCCCAUGUAUACUUGAGGGAUUUACUUAUGGAGAUAUAAUGUGGGCGACUCACAACCCUUCGUAUAUAAUUCUCCAUUUAUAUGAACUCGUUUACAACCUUGUGUCAUAUCAUGUGAGUGUAUUUCACUGUAUUACAAAUGCCCAAUGUAACCUUCUUGGUUCAACAUCUUUUGGCUAUUUGUAUUACAUUCAAAUAUAUAGGUCCAUUUUCCCACGUUCUUACAAAAUUGUAAUGGAAUUGCCUUUCUCCAUCUUUGUUUUUCGUUGAAAAGAACGAGACUCAAUAUCAACACAGCUCAUUGAUGAUUUUUAGUAGCUACUUGUAAAAACCAAAAUUACCAUUGGUUAUCAUCAAUCCGUGAUCCCAUAUUCUCAUGUGCAUGCGCAUGCAUAAAAGCCUUUUAUUUCUUUGGAUAUCCAUUGCCUCUUCAAGGGCAUGACGCUAUCUCUUCCAGGAUAGUCAUAAUUUAGAGAAUGUGGAUCAUAACCUCCUCUUGAGCGUUAUAGAGUUUGGAUUUUAAUCUCCACUUCCGGGAGUUGAGUCAUUGGAACCUAUAUGUCUAUUAUGCUCUAUGUAUAAGACAUCAACAUUCCCAUGUCUGUGGAUUGUCCUAUCUGGGACGUGUAUCCAUGCGGCGACUGUCAUGCUUCUGGCAUGCAACAGUUAUGCUUCGGGAAUGCAAUAGUUCAGUAGUGCCAUAUUAUUCUUCUUUUGAAUAACUGAACCUUUUGAGUCUAAAAAUCUGCCACGCUUCAGGCGUUCAACAGAUAAAUCAUUUACUGUCUCAUUAUUUUAUCCAACAGAGACAUCAAUUCUUGUAGACACAUUUGCAGUAAGUAUAUAUGAUUUCAUCACUUUCGUUGCAUCAUUCAAUUAUUCAUAUUUCAUUUUCUCAUUGAUUGCUUCGUGAAUCAAAAUAAAAUAAAUUCUCUUCGUUCUUCUGGAACGAUCCUUUCUCGUCAUUCUUCUGGAAUGAUAUUUUCUCAUUGUUCUUUUGGAACGAUAUUUUCUCCCCCUAACAGCGGAAAAAUUGUCUUAUCAAAAUGACAGUCCGCAAACCAAGCGGUAAAUAUAUCCCCAGUCAAGGGUUCCAAAUAUUGAAUGAUAGAUGGUGUUCAACAUCAAUGCCUAAUCUACGAUGAUGCCUCAUUUCAGUACGUUGUGGCAGUCUUACAGGCACAUAGACAACACAACAAAAAACUCGUGAAAGUAUAAUGCUUGGCUGGUUCCCAAACACGAGUUGUACUGAGAAGUAUUGAUGGUUAGUAACAUGUCUCAAUCGAAUUAACAAUGCAUCAUGUAAAGUUUACAUGUUCCCAUGUAGAAAAUUGGCAAUUUCAUUUUCAUGAGCAGAGCGUUGGUAAUUGAUUUCACCCACUUAAUAAAUGCUUCUGCUAAACCAUUUUAAGUAUGGACAUGAGGAACUUCUGUUCCUUGUUUAAUAGUCUGUGAACUGAGACUCUUAUGUCCUUUAUUAUAGUUAAGUUGAGGCACUGCGGCACUUUAAACUUACGGUACUCAUCAAGGAAUUUCAUGUCCUGAUCUUCAGGAUCAAAGGACUUCAUGCCUGAUUUUUUUGUAUGAUGGAACUUCGGGUCCAAUCAUUUUAUAUGAUGAGGAUCAAGAAACUGCAGGUUCUGAUCUGAUCAAGGAACUUUGGGUCUUAUAUAUACUCAUUGUAACAAAAGAUAAGUACAAUAAAUAAAUUAAAGCAAUAGGCGGUAAUUCCAGCCAUAAUGAAUAAAUUGCAUUUAAAUAAAUAAAGCUUGUGACAAGGGCUUUAAUCCAGCACCAUUAAAACUUAAAGCAAUAGGCGGUAAAACCGUCCAUGGUAAAUAAAUUGCUUUAAAGUAAAUAAAGCUUGUGACAAGGGCUUUGAUUCAGCACCAUUCACAUAAAUAUCAAAGCUUUAAAACAAAGGGUAAUAAUUCUACCCACUGUAAAUAAAUUGCUUUAAAUAAAUAGAACUUGUGAAAGUGUUUUAAGCCAACACCAUUCACAUAAAUAAAUAUAUACAUAAUUUCUUCUUUCUUUUCAGAUGGUGUAACACCAUCCAAAAACCUUUACCUUUAUUUUAUUUUAUUAUUUUCUUAUUCAAUCACAUUCUACAACAUUCCAAAAACUUUUGGUUUUAUUUCUUUUAUUUUACAUGGUGCAACGCACCUUUCUAAAUCAUUGGCCCCAUUUCCCCUUUUCUUUGUCUGUCUCUACCAGUCUCGAAACUCAGUAUCAGCUGGAUUGUUGUGGAGGUCACACAAAACCAAUUCAAUCCAAAAAGGCUACCAGAUACUGGCGUUGUUCUCGCAUAGCCCAAAGAACAUGGCAUCGCAAAGCAAGAAUCUCUCCACAGAGACAUAGAUGACAGUGAGGUUGACGGAGGCACAAGAGAGGGAGGCCGGUGUGGAGUCAGUCAUGCCAUCACCAUCUCAGACAACUGAGGAUUCAUGGAGGUCCACGAGAUUCAUUGAGAACGACACGAUCUGGGUUUCCAAGUUUGAUGAGAUUCUUCUGGAUCUCUGGAAACCAGUUGCCAGGUACGAGUUUUCUUAUCUCGUGACUACUUCAUGUCAUUGUAAAUUUCAAUUCGCACCGGGAUUCGGUGGGGCGCUUCUGGCGCGGUGGGAGAAACGAAAAAUGGACAUACCUUUGCUUGUUUUACUGCACCUUUGUUUGUCUGUAAGAUCUCUCCAUCUUUCUUGUCCACAAGAGAGAAAAUAGAUUGCAGGUCUAGCAGGGAUAAAGAUUAGCACAUCAAUAGUAAGAGUGAUAAAGGAAAAAGUGAUAAAAGAAAGGUUGAUGGAUUUUUGUGACAAGAUGAUCUUCCCUGUUUGACAUGUUUGGCUUGCCGUCUCUACUCUGUGAGAUUUUAGCUGACCGAGGUGAGAGGUAGAUAAUGCUUCACCAGAUUUAUGAUGUUGUGCUUUCCACUGACAUGAGAGCUUUUCGUGCUGAUAACGUGUUGUAAAAUCGACUGUGGGUGCAGUGGAAUAAAUGAAACAAGACACAAAAUUUACGAGGUUCCUCUACAGUCAGUGUGACUGGAGUACGUCCUCGGGGCAGCAGUGGUGCUUUCAUUAUAAUUUGAAAUAAUAGGAGUACAAAGAUAACUCUCUCUAUUAUCUUCUCUCAUCUUCCUCUAUUCUCUCUCUUCCUCUUCCUUCUCUCUCUUCCUCUUCCUUCCUUCCUCU
RNAcentral lists this long non-coding RNA (6185 nucleotides) under Malus domestica (apple). RNAcentral's name for it is "long non-coding RNA (MDOM_LNC011395)". Lineage: Eukaryota; Viridiplantae; Streptophyta; Magnoliopsida; Rosales; Rosaceae. The record is from RNAcentral.